UGGUGGUUUAUUGCUAUCAAAAUGUUAAUGUGGAUUUUAGGGGUCCUUUUUCUCUGAAAAUCAUGGCUAACUUGGGUGAACAUGUAGGCCACAAGGGCACGUACCCUCUUUUACUACCAUGUAUCAUCAUGUAUGCAACCAUGAUCAUACAUUUUCCACAACUUGAUUAUACAUCAAUGCACUUUGUUAGAAAAAAGGGUAUGAACACUUGCAUAGAAAUUCAUUUGAAGUUUGAAAAUUUGUGGUGUCUUCUCUCCCUUACACUAGACCAACAAAAAAUAGGAAUGGGCAUGGUUCGGUUAUCCAAUUUAUGGGGCAAAAUUUUGAACCUAGCCAUCGACAUCGGUUAACCAUUUUAUUCAGUUUUUAUCUCUUUGGUUCAACGAUUAAUCAGAUUUCUAACUAGUGAACUAAAUUGAGUUUAUAUUAAUUAAUUUGAACUUGGAUUUCACUUAAAAAACUUUCAAUAAUGGUUAUUUUCUAUCACAAAAAAUUUUAUUGUACUCAAGGAAGUAGAGCUCUAU
This 524-nucleotide unclassified non-coding RNA is filed under the name Hevea brasiliensis (rubber tree). The record is from RNAcentral. Lineage: Eukaryota; Viridiplantae; Streptophyta; Magnoliopsida; Malpighiales; Euphorbiaceae.